This is a long non-coding RNA of Carassius carassius (crucian carp), 1205 nucleotides long. RefSeq lists it as uncharacterized. The record is from RefSeq and is a predicted model, not a curated record. The transcript is spliced from 4 exons. NCBI's taxonomy places the organism in Eukaryota, Metazoa, Chordata, Actinopteri, Cypriniformes, Cyprinidae.
GUUUAUUGUUGUUGACAGACAUAUGUACAGUGAGACAAAAUGAGGACCACAUCGACGGCGAAUCCUUCAGAGAUGAUAGUUUAUAUCUGCGUCUUUUUUGUACAAUAGAGUACAGAAUACAUCCUGUGUCCAACUAAUGCAGAGUAUAUUCAAGCUGUCAACACACUGGUUGUGAAGAACCCUUUCCAGAGAAAUAUAGAUAGAAAUGACUGUGAAGCUUGUGUUGGGGAGGAUUCAAUGUCUGUUGAGGCACAUGUGAAUGUGCUACAAAGUGAGUAUCAGAAACACAUCCAGACACAUGGACUGUCAAAGACCACACGACAGGAACAUUCUCCUGGAGACGCUGAGAAAGCACGGAAGGAAUCUCUGUGGAAGAUGUACUCAAAAAAUACACAUACUUAAGGACACCUGCUGGAGGGGACCCGGCUACACCUUUCCUACCAUACACCUGAUGGAUACUGACUGUAAAAUGUCAAUCAUAGUUCGAGGGCUCAGUGUGGUGACAGAAGAUGGAACAGAUGUGUGUCAGUGCACCAGCCUUGAUGAAGCUUCAUAACAGCCUUCUGUGUGUAUUCUGCUUUCAACAUUGCAUAUCCACCACACCUGAGAAAGACACUGACUUUCCUUCAGAGGCACAUUGUCAACAUUAGAAGAUGGAGACAAGCACUGUCAGUAACGUUACUCUGAAUGAUUUGCCUCUUGUAUUAGAUCCUCAUGCCUUGACUGUAUACCAUUGCCCAAAGUGCACUCGAAGGACAUUCACUCUUUUGAAGUUAACCCGACAUGCUGCAGUGGUACAUGCACAUGAACCAAAUAGCUUGCUCUAUUCUUUUUCUAUUCUAUCUGUUUUCUUUUUAUUUAUUAUAUUAUUUAAAAGCCCUUGCUACGUGUACUGUGUUACCCUAACUGAGACUUGUUAUAGCUCUUAUAUAUCAUUGCACUUUUUGUUGUUUUUGAUUGCUUCCACUCUGUCCUCAUUUGUAAGUCGAUUUGAAUAAAAGCGUCUGCUAAAUGAAUAAAUGUAAAUGUAAAUAUUAAUAUAACCUGUGGUAUAGAUGAGUGCCAGUCAACUUUUUUCUGAUUCCAUUCUUUUAGAAACCAUGCACAGGAAGCAUAUGUACUUUUGGUACUCAGUGAAGAGUCAGUAGUACAGUUGUAUUAUAAUAUAAUGGAGAAGGGUCUGGCUGCAGACUUGCACUCUCAGA